This 156-nucleotide ribosomal RNA is filed under the name Arabis nuttallii. RNAcentral describes it as "5.8S ribosomal RNA". It matches the Rfam family "5.8S ribosomal RNA". From Rfam's summary of the family: 5.8S ribosomal RNA (5.8S rRNA) is a component of the large subunit of the eukaryotic ribosome. The record is from RNAcentral. Lineage: Eukaryota; Viridiplantae; Streptophyta; Magnoliopsida; Brassicales; Brassicaceae. RNAcentral also lists the same sequence under 1 other name.
AUAACGACUCCCGGCAACGGAUAUCUCGGCUCUCGCAUCGAUGAAGAACGUAGCGAAAUGCGAUACUUGGUGUGAAUUGCAGAAUCCCGUGAACCAUCGAGUCUUUGAACGCAAGUUGCGCCCUAAGCCUUCUGGCCGAGGGCACGUCUGCCUGGG